UUUUAUGGAGAGUUUGAUCCUGGCUCAGGAUGAACGCUGGCGGCGUGCCUAAUACAUGCAAGUCGAGCGAACGGACGAGAAGCUUGCUUCUCUGAUGUUAGCGGCGGACGGGUGAGUAACACGUGGAUAACCUACCUAUAAGACUGGGAUAACUUCGGGAAACCGGAGCUAAUACCGGAUAAUAUUUUGAACCGCAUGGUUCAAAAGUGAAAGACGGUCUUGCUGUCACUUAUAGAUGGAUCCGCGCUGCAUUAGCUAGUUGGUAAGGUAACGGCUUACCAAGGCAACGAUGCAUAGCCGACCUGAGAGGGUGAUCGGCCACACUGGAACUGAGACACGGUCCAGACUCCUWCGGGAGGCAGCAGUAGGGAAUCUUCCGCAAUGGGCGAAAGCCUGACGGAGCAACGCCGCGUGAGUGAUGAAGGUCUUCGGAUCGUAAAACUCUGUUAUUAGGGAAGAACAUAUGUGUAAGUAAC
RNAcentral lists this ribosomal RNA (476 nucleotides) under Staphylococcus aureus. RNAcentral describes it as "bacterial SSU rRNA". It matches the Rfam family "Bacterial small subunit ribosomal RNA", at positions 1 to 465 of the family's 1533-position model. The record is from RNAcentral. Lineage: Bacteria; Bacillati; Bacillota; Bacilli; Caryophanales; Staphylococcaceae.